UACGGAGGAUCCAAGCGUUAUCCGGAAUCAUUGGGUUUAAAGGGUCCGUAGGCGGUUUUGUAAGUCAGUGGUGAAAGCCCAUCGCUCAACGGUGGAACGGCCAUUGAUACUGCAAGGCUUGAAUUAUUGGGAAGUAACUAGAAUAUGUAGUGUAGCGGUGAAAUGCUUAGAGAUUACAUGGAAUACCAAUUGCGAAGGCAGGUUACUACCAAUAUAUUGACGCUGAUGGACGAAAGCGUGGGGAGCGAACAGG
Molecule: ribosomal RNA, 253 nt
Filed under: uncultured bacterium
Lineage: Bacteria
Description: partial 16S ribosomal RNA
Rfam family: Bacterial small subunit ribosomal RNA
Source: RNAcentral